RNAcentral lists this ribosomal RNA (429 nucleotides) under Pseudomonadota bacterium. Its description in RNAcentral is "Proteobacteria bacterium partial 16S ribosomal RNA". It matches the Rfam family "Bacterial small subunit ribosomal RNA", at positions 355 to 776 of the family's 1533-position model. Lineage: Bacteria; Pseudomonadati; Pseudomonadota. The record is from RNAcentral.
UGGGGAAUAUUGGACAAUGGGCGAAAGCCUGAUCCAGCCAUGCCGCGUGUGUGAAGAAGGUCUUCGGAUUGUAAAGCACUUUAAGUUGGGAGGAAGGGCAGUAAGCGAAUACCUUGCUGUUUUGACGUUACCGACAGAAUAAGCACCGGCUAACUCUGUGCCAGCAGCCGCGGUAAUACAGAGGGUGCAAGCGUUAAUCGGAAUUACUGGGCGUAAAGCGCGCGUAGGUGGUUCGUUAAGUUGAAUGUGAAAGCCCCGGGCUCAACCUGGGAAAUGCAUCCAAAACUGGCGGGCUAGAGUAGGGCAGAGGGUGGUGGAAUUUCCUGUGUAGCGGUGAAAUGCGUAGAUAUAGGAAGGAACACCAGUGGCGAAGGCGACCACCUGGGCUCAUACUGACACUGAGGUGCGAAAGCGUGGGGAGCAAACAGG